RNAcentral lists this ribosomal RNA (2927 nucleotides) under Escherichia coli. Its description in RNAcentral is "23S ribosomal RNA". It matches the Rfam family "Bacterial large subunit ribosomal RNA". Lineage: Bacteria; Pseudomonadati; Pseudomonadota; Gammaproteobacteria; Enterobacterales; Enterobacteriaceae. The record is from RNAcentral.
GGGUUGUGAGGUUAAGCGACUAAGCGUACACGGUGGAUGCCCUGGCAGUCAGAGGCGAUGAAGGACGUGCUAAUCUGCGAUAAGCGUCGGUAAGGUGAUAUGAACCGUUAUAACCGGCGAUUUCCGAAUGGGGAAACCCAGUGUGUUUCGACACACUAUCAUUAACUGAAUCCAUAGGUUAAUGAGGCGAACCGGGGAACUGAAACAUCUAAGUACCCCGAGGAAAAGAAAUCAACCGAGAUUCCCCCAGUAGCGGCGAGCGAACGGGGAGCAGCCCAGAGCCUGAAUCAGUAUGUGUGUUAGUGGAAGCGUCUGGAAAGGCGCGCGAUACAGGGUGACAGCCCCGUACACAAAAAUGCACAUGCUGUGAGCUCGAUGAGUAGGGCGGGACACGUGGUAUCCUGUCUGAAUAUGGGGGACCAUCCUCCAAGGCUAAAUACUCCUGACUGACCGAUAGUGAACCAGUACCGUGAGGGAAAGGCGAAAAGAACCCCGGCGAGGGGAGUGAAAAAGAACCUGAAACCGUGUACGUACAAGCAGUGGGAGCACGCUUAGGCGUGUGACUGCGUACCUUUUGUAUAAUGGGUCAGCGACUUAUAUUCUGUAGCAAGGUUAACCGAAUAGGGGAGCCGAAGGGAAACCGAGUCUUAACUGGGCGUUAAGUUGCAGGGUAUAGACCCGAAACCCGGUGAUCUAGCCAUGGGCAGGUUGAAGGUUGGGUAACACUAACUGGAGGACCGAACCGACUAAUGUUGAAAAAUUAGCGGAUGACUUGUGGCUGGGGGUGAAAGGCCAAUCAAACCGGGAGAUAGCUGGUUCUCCCCGAAAGCUAUUUAGGUAGCGCCUCGUGAAUUCAUCUCUGGGGGUAGAGCACUGUUUCGGCAAGGGGGUCAUCCCGACUUACCAACCCGAUGCAAACUGCGAAUACCGGAGAAUGUUAUCACGGGAGACACACGGCGGGUGCUAACGUCCGUCGUGAAGAGGGAAACAACCCAGACCGCCAGCUAAGGUCCCAAAGUCAUGGUUAAGUGGGAAACGAUGUGGGAAGGCCCAGACAGCCAGGAUGUUGGCUUAGAAGCAGCCAUCAUUUAAAGAAAGCGUAAUAGCUCACUGGUCGAGUCGGCCUGCGCGGAAGAUGUAACGGGGCUAAACCAUGCACCGAAGCUGCGGCAGCGACGCUUAUGCGUUGUUGGGUAGGGGAGCGUUCUGUAAGCCUGCGAAGGUGUGCUGUGAGGCAUGCUGGAGGUAUCAGAAGUGCGAAUGCUGACAUAAGUAACGAUAAAGCGGGUGAAAAGCCCGCUCGCCGGAAGACCAAGGGUUCCUGUCCAACGUUAAUCGGGGCAGGGUGAGUCGACCCCUAAGGCGAGGCCGAAAGGCGUAGUCGAUGGGAAACAGGUUAAUAUUCCUGUACUUGGUGUUACUGCGAAGGGGGACGGAGAAGGCUAUGUUGGCCGGGCGACGGUUGUCCCGGUUUAAGCGUGUAGGCUGGUUUUCCAGGCAAAUCCGGAAAAUCAAGGCUGAGGCGUGAUGACGAGGCACUACGGUGCUGAAGCAACAAAUGCCCUGCUUCCAGGAAAAGCCUCUAAGCAUCAGGUAACAUCAAAUCGUACCCCAAACCGACACAGGUGGUCAGGUAGAGAAUACCAAGGCGCUUGAGAGAACUCGGGUGAAGGAACUAGGCAAAAUGGUGCCGUAACUUCGGGAGAAGGCACGCUGAUAUGUAGGUGAAGCGACUUGCUCGUGGAGCUGAAAUCAGUCGAAGAUACCAGCUGGCUGCAACUGUUUAUUAAAAACACAGCACUGUGCAAACACGAAAGUGGACGUAUACGGUGUGACGCCUGCCCGGUGCCGGAAGGUUAAUUGAUGGGGUUAGCGCAAGCGAAGCUCUUGAUCGAAGCCCCGGUAAACGGCGGCCGUAACUAUAACGGUCCUAAGGUAGCGAAAUUCCUUGUCGGGUAAGUUCCGACCUGCACGAAUGGCGUAAUGAUGGCCAGGCUGUCUCCACCCGAGACUCAGUGAAAUUGAACUCGCUGUGAAGAUGCAGUGUACCCGCGGCAAGACGGAAAGACCCCGUGAACCUUUACUAUAGCUUGACACUGAACAUUGAGCCUUGAUGUGUAGGAUAGGUGGGAGGCUUUGAAGUGUGGACGCCAGUCUGCAUGGAGCCGACCUUGAAAUACCACCCUUUAAUGUUUGAUGUUCUAACGUUGACCCGUGAUCCGGGUUGCGGACAGUGUCUGGUGGGUAGUUUGACUGGGGCGGUCUCCUCCUAAAGAGUAACGGAGGAGCACGAAGGUUGGCUAAUCCUGGUCGGACAUCAGGAGGUUAGUGCAAUGGCAUAAGCCAGCUUGACUGCGAGCGUGACGGCGCGAGCAGGUGCGAAAGCAGGUCAUAGUGAUCCGGUGGUUCUGAAUGGAAGGGCCAUCGCUCAACGGAUAAAAGGUACUCCGGGGAUAACAGGCUGAUACCGCCCAAGAGUUCAUAUCGACGGCGGUGUUUGGCACCUCGAUGUCGGCUCAUCACAUCCUGGGGCUGAAGUAGGUCCCAAGGGUAUGGCUGUUCGCCAUUUAAAGUGGUACGCGAGCUGGGUUUAGAACGUCGUGAGACAGUUCGGUCCCUAUCUGCCGUGGGCGCUGGAGAACUGAGGGGGCUGCUCCUAGUACGAGAGGACCGGAGUGGACGCAUCACUGGUGUUCGGGUUGUCAUGCCAAUGGCACUGCCCGGUAGCUAAAUGCGGAAGAGAUAAGUGCUGAAAGCAUCUAAGCACGAAACUUGCCCCGAGAUGAGUUCUCCCUGACCCUUUAAGGGUCCUGAAGGAACGUUGAAGACGACGACGUUGAUAGGCCGGGUGUGUAAGCGCAGCGAUGCGUUGAGCUAACCGGUACUAAUGAACCGUGAGGCUUAACCUUACAACGCCGAAGGUGUUU